Molecule: non-coding RNA, 532 nt
Organism: Salvia hispanica
Lineage: Eukaryota; Viridiplantae; Streptophyta; Magnoliopsida; Lamiales; Lamiaceae
Source: RefSeq, a predicted model, not a curated record
GGUUAUGGCAUGGAGUGUAGUAAUUUCAUGAAAGAGAAAGGAAGCAAAUAUCACUUGCAAAAAGCUCUAGCUAACAGGUACUUGUUAUUGCUAGUCAAAGAGUAGUUCUUAUGAUAAGUUUAGGAACAAGUUUUAUAAUCUUUAUCAUUAUUCUGAAUGCUUAUAUGAUCUGGACGUCGUAGUAUUUUAUUAUUCUUCAAUUUCUCGUGUGAACCAAUAAGAUAUGUUAGGCCUAUAUAUAUUAUGCAUUGCAAACCUAAGGCUGAGAACUUUUCUGGUUUCUUACCAACUCUUGUAGUUUCAUGUAUCAAAAGCUGGCUCAAGAGAUGAACAGAUAAGUUUGAUCAAAGAUUUGGAAAGGAAAGAGACGGAGUACAAGGACGGAGUUCAAGAGACUGAGAAAGAACAAGAUAUGUGUAGAUGAUAAAUUUGCCAACAACAUUUCCACUAGACAUGAGACUAAGGAACAUGAAUCAUUAUUUGUUACUAUUAACUAAAGUUUUAGAAUUUGUAUUGAUGCUCAAUAUUAUUA